Coregonus clupeaformis (lake whitefish) is the source of this 2665-nucleotide RNA transcript. It is a transcript of the gene named atypical kinase COQ8A, mitochondrial-like, with no coding region annotated. Lineage: Eukaryota; Metazoa; Chordata; Actinopteri; Salmoniformes; Salmonidae. The transcript has 12 exons. The record is from RefSeq and is a predicted model, not a curated record.
CAGUGACACGGUUAGGGAGACUGGCUAAUUUUGGAGGUCUGGCUGUAGGACUGGGUUUGGAGCACUGGCUGAGGUAGCCAUGAAGAGUAUGAGGCCAACUGACAAGACUGUUCUGGACUCCAGUCCGUUCCUAUCAGAGGCUAACGCAGAGCGGAUCGUCAGGACACUGUGUAAGGUCCGUGGCGCUGCACUCAAACUGGGACAGAUGCUCAGCAUUCAAGAUGAUGCCUUCAUCAACCCCCAGCUGGCCAAGAUAUUUGAGCGUGUGAGACAGAGUGCAGACUUCAUGCCCAUCAAGCAGAUGACGAAAUCCAUCAACAACGACCUUGGCCCUAACUGGAGGGACAAGCUGGAUUCGUUUGAGGAGCGGCCGUUUGCUGCGGCCUCCAUCGGACAGGUCCAUCUGGCUAAGAUGAAGGAUGGCAGGGAGGUGGCCAUGAAGAUCCAGUACCCCGGAGUGGCUAAAAGCAUCGACAGUGACGUCAACAACCUGAUGACUCUCCUCACCAUGAGCAACGCACUGCCUGAAGGUCUCUUCCCUGAGCAUCUGAUUGAGGUGAUGAGCAGAGAGCUGGCACUGGAAUGUGAUUACAUAAGAGAGGCCAAAUGUGCCAAGAAAUUCCAGGAGCUGCUGAAAGACCACCCGUUCUUCUACGUACCAGACGUAAUAGACGAGCUGAGCAGCAACGCCGUCCUCACCACAGAGCUGGUCCCCGGCUUCCCCUCUGGACCAGGCUGAACAACUCUCCCAGGAACUCAAAAACGAGAUCUGUGAGAAUAUCCUGAAACUUUGUUUAAGGGAGCUGUUUGAGUUCAGAUACAUGCAGACUGACCCCAACUGGUCCAACUUCUUCUACGACCCACAGACACACAGAGUUGCGUUGUUGGAUUUCGGAGCCACAAGAGGAUUUAGUGAGGACUUCACUGACAUUUACAUUGAGCUCAUCAAGUCAGCAGCAGAGGGAGACAGAGAGGGGGUUCGGAAGAGAUCAGUAGACAUGAAGUUCCUCACAGGUUAUGAGUCAAAGUCCAUGGUGAAUGCCCAUGUGGACGCGGUGAUGAUCCUGGGCGAGGCCUUUGCCUCCACGGAGCCUUUUAACUUCGGAGCCCAGAGCACCACGGAGCGCAUCCACAACCUGAUCCCUGUGAUGCUGAAGCAGCGCCUCACCCCGCCCCCCGAGGAGACCUACUCCCUCCACCGCAAGAUGGGCGGCUCCUUCCUCAUCUGCUCCCGCCUUGACGCCAAGCUCGGCUGCAAGAACAUGUUCCAGGAGGCCUAUAACAACUACUGGAGGGACCGCCCCCAACCGACCAAGCCAGUGACGGACACCGCAGAGGGCCAAUCGCAGGGCUACAGCAGCAGGGUUAGAGAGGAUGUGUGGACUAUAAGGGGAGGGAUAUUGACCCUAGCCAGACUUGCUCUGCUGUUAAUGUUAUGUAUAUGGAUGGCAUUUUUUUCCUCGUCCCUCCCCCGAACCAGAAUCUGUGUUUAUGUAUGUGUGUGUGUGUGUGUGUGUGUAUGUAUAUGUAUAUUUUUUUGUGUGUGUGUGCAUGUGUUAUUAGGAGUAUAUUAACCAUGGCUGUCCAGUUAACAUAUUCACAAGAUGUAUCAGAUGGUUGGUUGUAUAGGUUGAGUUAACUGGGAUAAAUGCCAUGAUGUGUGUCUGAGAGAGAAUUGUAAAGCUAUUGUGAAAUCAAGACAGUUGGUUUCUUGUGACGUGGGGAUAUGAUACUGUCUAAUGGGCAUAAAACCAGUGGUCAUGAUGAGACAAGUUAAAUAUGUUGAAGAACAGAUAAUAUACUGUUAAUGACCCAUAUUCUCCAGCAUGUGGCAGUAGUUCUAAUGUCCUAUGAGGACAAAACAAAUGAUAAUAUGAUGCAUACAGAAGUCUAAAAGGACGUUUUUCAAGUUUUUAGUCGCACUUAUGCAUAGUGCACACAUUACCAGGGUACAGACCAAUUCCUGUUGAGGGGGAGGAUUUGAGGACAAUCUCCUGUUAAGCCUAUCCCUAUAAACACAUUACAUUUGGGCCACCUGAAAUAUCAUAAUAGAUUUAUCAAUGAUAUGCACUGUCAAAACAUUAUUGCACUGUGUCAAGACACACUUAUUUCUGCAAGGUGGAGAUGGUUGAUGGAUGGAUCAUUGGACAUGGCCUUACUUCCAGUGCCUGAGGAAAUAAGAACAUGUAUUCUCAUUGACUGAUCUACUUUACCAUGGGCCUGUAGCACCAAAAUGGAGUGUUUUGGCACCAAAGUGUUCUUCCUGUGGCCUGGUGGGCUUAUGACAUUUUGACUAUAGUGUCGUUUAUUAACAGUGGGGAGUGACAACAGCAGGUUUUGCAUCAGUUGACAAAACUAUCAUACUAAGUAUCAAAACCGUGCUGUUUUGUCAUAAAAGCCUGUCUUUACUUUGUGAUGAAACGAUGGUUGAGGCAAGAGAAAAGUGAUCCUAAAUCACUUUUUUUGUGUGAAAAUAUAGUAUUUCUAUAUGCCUAUAGUAUUUCUAGAAGUUUGUUUAGAAAUGAAUGCCGCUAUGCAUCUUUAUAUUGAUAUCAGAAGAAGAGUUUAAAAAAAAAUAUGAUUAGUUUUUCUAAGCAAUGACAUUCUUACCAAGGGUUGUGAUUAAUAUGAAAAUAUAAACAUUUUGACUCAACACUUGCCCUAA